This 306-nucleotide ribosomal RNA is filed under the name uncultured bacterium. RNAcentral describes it as "partial 16S ribosomal RNA". It matches the Rfam family "Bacterial small subunit ribosomal RNA", at positions 505 to 807 of the family's 1533-position model. The record is from RNAcentral.
GACAGCAGCAGCCGCGGGAAUACAGAGGGUGCGAGCGUUAAUCGGAUUUACUGGGCGUAAAGCGUGCGUAGGCGGCUUUUUAAGUCGGAUGUGAAAUCCCUGAGCUUAACUUAGGAAUUGCAUUCGAUACUGGGAAGCUAGAGUAUGGGAGAGGAUGGUAGAAUUCCAGGUGUAGCGGUGAAAUGCGUAGAGAUCUGGAGGAAUACCGAUGGCGAAGGCAGCCAUCUGGCCUAAUACUGACGCUGAGGUACGAAAGCAUGGGGAGCAAACAGGAUUAGAUACCCCAGUAGUCCCUGUCUCUUAUAC